AGUAAAUAGAUACCCGGGUAGUCCACGCCGUAAACGAUGUCGACUUGGAGGUUGUGCCCUUGAGGCGUGGCUUCCGGAGCUAAACGCGUUAAAGUCGACCGCCUGGGGAGUACGGCCGCAAGGUUAAAACUCAAAUGAAUUGACGGGGGCCCGCACAAGCGGUGGAGCAUGUGGUUUAAUUCAAUGCAACGCGAAGAACCUUACCUACUCUUGACAUCCAGAGAACUUAGCAGAGAUGCUUUGGUGCCUUCGGGAACUCUGAGACAGGUGCUGCAUGGCUGUCGUCAGCUCGUGUUGUGAAAUGUUGGGUUAAGUCCCGCAACGAGCGCAACCCUUAUCCUUUGUUGCCAGCGGUUAGGCCGGGAACUCAAAGGAGACUGCCAGUGAUAAACUGGAGGAAGGUGGGGAUGACGUCAAGUCAUCAUGGCCCUUACGAGUAGGGCUACACACGUGCUACAAUGGCGCAUACAAAGAGAAGCGACCUCGCGAGAGCAAGCGGACCUCAUAAAGUGCGUCGUAGUCCGG
RNAcentral lists this ribosomal RNA (525 nucleotides) under uncultured bacterium. RNAcentral describes it as "bacterial SSU rRNA". It matches the Rfam family "Bacterial small subunit ribosomal RNA", at positions 775 to 1296 of the family's 1533-position model. The record is from RNAcentral.